AAAUUGAGCUUCAGAGAUACAGCCAAACAUGAAGUAAAUAAUGUCAAAGACUCUUGGAGACUCUGGCCUUGGGGAGGCAGCAUAGCUCAGCAGGAACUACCAUGGGUUUAGACUCAGAACUCCUGGUUUCUGCUCUCAGAUCUUCAGUCCAGGAAGAGACCAUCUAGGAGCAGUACAAGCCAUGAGACAAGCAAGUAGAAACUUUAAGAGAGUGAGAAGACCGGAAUCCAUAAAGAGAUCAUUAAAAAAAAAUACAAAAAACUGGCAUAUUUGCCCCAGUGAAGAGAAGAUAUAGAGAGCAAGAUCAUUCAGAGUUCAAGCAUCAGGCAACAUCUACCUAGUGAGCCUGAAGAACAGAGCUUCCAGAAAUCCUUCCAGAGUAGAAGAGGACCAUUUUGAGAACCAAUAAAUGGCUGGACCUGCAAGAAAGAUCAUUUGAAUGUAACUGUUUUAAGAUUUAAGAGAAUUUCUAUCGAAAUUACUCAAGACCUUGAACUAAAGUCUUAUAAAGAGCAACAUCCCCCCACCCUCUCCCCCAAACUACCAACCCUACUUCUAGUUCUUCCUCUGAAGCACCCCAUGAGGAGAACAACUUUCUGGAGAAAUGCCUCAGCAGCCUCAAUGUCCCCAACAUUAACUGCUAACCAACUCUACAAAAAGGCAGGUAAACUCAAGAGAGUUGGGAGUUGUAGCACGCUCAUUUCACUUAUCCAACCAUUGGCCAUUCUUUCAGCCCAUCCAUCUUCAUUUAUUUCCUACCAACUAAUACUUACAGAGUAGCCAAGCUGGUGAGACUGAAACAACAAGGCAUCUUGGAGAGAAACAGGAGAUAGUGAGUUAUAGGAGAGUUAAACUACUACUUCUUCUUCAACUUCUUCAACUACCAUCUUUUCUCAGAUUCUUAUGAAGAUAUCCCAGGACUGAGAGCACAAGAGUCUUGGGAAUUUCAGUAGUUCCUUCCUUUUCCAGUUCUAUAAUCUUGCUUCUAGCUUUGUCUUCAUAGCUAUCAUUGUGAAGAGUAAUCCUUGUAAAGAAAGGGAUCACCAUCUUCACUACCCCUAACACUAGCUGAUGACCAAAUGCUACAGCAGCCCUUGCCUCCUCAGCAAUCACAGAUGAUGAAGACCCCCCCCCCAAAAAAAAAGCUUCUUACCAGCAAUGUCUUUAGUACUGUUAGGUGAUUUUAAAAAUAAAUGAUUUAAUCACUUGAAAAGUGGCUUUAUUAAUUGCUUUGCCACUAAACCCUAAGGACCAUGGGGCCUUUUCAUGUGAUUUGUUUCUGAAAUCUCCUGUAUGCCUUAUCUCCUAAAUAAGUUUCUUGGGAGCAGAUACUGUUUCCUCCCUUCUCUUUGUACCCCAAGGACCAGUGAUUAGCAAAGUCUUAGUAUCUAGUAAGAACUUUUUUAAUUUUAAGUAUAAACCUUUAGAAUUCACACAUUCAAUUUUUACUACAUAAAAGUAAGUCACUGAAUAUCAGAAGCCUUUAAAAUUCAAUUCAUUGAAAAGUAUUAAACUUGGAAGUUAAUGGUGAAGAGGCAGAAGAAGGAGGAAGAGGAGGAGGAGGAGGAGGAGGAGGAGAAAGAGAAA
Molecule: long non-coding RNA, 1587 nt
Organism: Sarcophilus harrisii (Tasmanian devil)
Lineage: Eukaryota; Metazoa; Chordata; Mammalia; Dasyuromorphia; Dasyuridae
Exons: 5
Source: RefSeq, a predicted model, not a curated record